Molecule: long non-coding RNA, 174 nt
Organism: Sander lucioperca (pikeperch)
Lineage: Eukaryota; Metazoa; Chordata; Actinopteri; Perciformes; Percidae
Exons: 3
Source: RefSeq, a predicted model, not a curated record
ACUUCUGCUCCUCUGACAGAGGAUGCAGCUUUAAAAUAGAUAGACAUUUAUUGAUCCUUUCGGAAAUUCAUCUUGCACCAUACAGCUCAUCAAAUAGACAGACAACAGACCAUAAACAACAGACAACAACAAGACCACUAAACCCUCCCUCCCCCCCGCACAACAACAAUACAC